CAACCCUUAAGCCCUAGCUGCUUAGCGUUGGGAGCUUUCCGCCUCUAGUAGAAACUCCUCAAAGUUAUUGGCAGAGUUACGACAUACUCUAAGCGUAGUAAUCAUUAUCUCGCUUCUGAUGGUGUCGUAAUAAUCGCCAUAAACCUCUAUUUUCUAGU
RNAcentral lists this unclassified non-coding RNA (158 nucleotides) under uncultured Monosporascus. RNAcentral's name for it is "sequence contains ITS2". The record is from RNAcentral. Lineage: Eukaryota; Fungi; Ascomycota; Sordariomycetes; Sordariales.